AAAACUCUGUUGUUAGGGAAGAACAAGUGCUAGUUGAAUAAGCUGGCACCUUGACGGUACCUAACCAGAAAGCCACGGCUAACUACGUGCCAGCAGCCGCGGUAAUACGUAGGUGGCAAGCGUUAUCCGGAAUUAUUGGGCGUAAAGCGCGCGCAGGUGGUUUCUUAAGUCUGAUGUGAAAGCCCACGGCUCAACCGUGGAGGGUCAUUGGAAACUGGGAGACUUGAGUGCAGAAGAGGAAAGUGGAAUUCCAUGUGUAGCGGUGAAAUGCGUAGAGAUAUGGAGGAACACCAGUGGCGAAGGCGACUUUCUGGUCUGUAACUGACACUGAGGCGCGAAAGCGUGGGGAGCAAACAGGAUUAGAUACCCUGGUAGUCCACGCCGUAAACGAUGAGUGCUAAGUGUUAGAGGGUUUCCGCCCUUUAGUGCUGAAGUUAACGCAUUAAGCACUCCGCCUGGGGAGUACGGCCGCAAGGCUGAAACUCAAAUGAAUUGACGGA
RNAcentral lists this ribosomal RNA (500 nucleotides) under Bacillus albus. Its description in RNAcentral is "bacterial SSU rRNA". It matches the Rfam family "Bacterial small subunit ribosomal RNA", at positions 427 to 917 of the family's 1533-position model. Lineage: Bacteria; Bacillati; Bacillota; Bacilli; Caryophanales; Bacillaceae. The record is from RNAcentral.